UAGAUCCUUGAGUUGUACAUACUCAGAUGUACGUCGCUUUGGACAAAAGUGUCUGCUAAAUGAAAUUGUUGAAUUGUAGAUCUGUGCUUGUGAGUAAAUGUAAAUUUCUACUUUGAAAAACUGGCUCAUAAAAUGAUUUGCAAGUAAAAUAUGAUCGGAAAAUUAAAACUCAUAGUGAUAUAGCAGAGUAAAAAGUACAAUGUUUCCAUCUGAAAUGGGGCAUAUUUGAAGUAAAUUUAAAUAUACAUUGUUAUAUAGUCUACCCACAAACUAUCAAUAAUUAGCAUUGACAGCAUUUGACUAAAUGUAUUGCGUUACAUUCCCCCUCUGGUCUGUAGAAACAACCUCAACCUCCUUAUCCGGCAUUUUUCUAAUAAGCUCCACGACCAGAAACUUUGUAAAUCUAGGAUCAAUAUUGGAGUUGCUUUUGAAAGAGAUCAGAACGCAGAAAGGUUUCAAGACCGAUGCAGAGCUGGUUAUACUGAAGCUUCAGUUUCUGUGACAGGACAACCUGCGUUCAUAUCGACUAUAGAGGGGAGGGGGCGAGGGGAAACAGCUCUCUCUAAUGUUUAGAAUCUGGACUGCAGUACCCAUUUUAAACACAAGGUGUCAGAGGUAAAUAACGCUCCUUUAAUCUGUUAAAAAUGUUUGAAUCAAUAGUUUAGUAUAUAAAAUGAUAGAAAAAAAGUUAAAUGUCUAUCCCCUUUUCUCAAAUCCCUGUUCAACAUCUUCAUAAGUUUUGUUUUGUCUCACAACAAACUAAAGAGGUUCAGUUAAUGAGAGAAAACAUGUAACAAGCAGCACUUCAAAAUAUUGAAAUACUUCAAUAUUUUGUUUUGCUUGAAAAUUGACUUGAAGGAUAAAACAAAGUUACUUUAGAAACAGAAAAGGAAGAAAAAUGUUCAUGAUUAUUUUAGUUUUUUUUAAUUAAAACAACCUAAUUUACAUCUUUAGAAAUAUAAAACUAUGUAAACAUGUAGACUUGAGUCCUCAGUGCAAACAAAAAAAGUAUAAAUAGAUCUUCACUCCUCCUAGAGCCGUCAAGAAGAGUCCCAUCACACUUCAUCCUUUUUUAUCAAUCUGAACCAGAGCUGGUUCUUCAAACUGCGUAUAAAAAAAAAAUCCACCAUACAGCCAUCAGGGCUCUCUCAAGUCCGUAUCUGUCCAAAGAGCCAGUCUACAGGGUCUUUGCCUCUGCAGUCUUUUUCUCUGCUCAUCCUGGGAGACAAGUCCUCCGAGCUGUUCAGACUCAAACUGUAAAGUCUGGAAGUCCUGAGUGCGCGAGGCGACCCUCGAGGAAGUGACGCAGACACAGAGAGCUUCAUCUGAAGCUUUGAGAGGUUCCUCAGCCAGGGGGUCCUCUGGAGCCGGACGUGGCCGCAGCUCGGGAGCUCCACGGGGCAGGCGAGAGCCUGGAUACUGCUCAUGUAGUCCUCCAGAGACUGGGAGCUCUGGGUAGACUGGGCAGAUGAGGGAUGAGUGGCCAGGUCCUCGAGCGUCUCAGUGAUGGUGGGUAAGAGAGGCAGUGAGAGCAGCAGACGUCUGUCGCUCUCACCUUUGAUGCCGCAGGUGUAUGAUUGACACACGCAGAGAGAAA
Long non-coding RNA from Labrus mixtus (cuckoo wrasse), 1597 nucleotides. RefSeq lists it as uncharacterized. The record is from RefSeq and is a predicted model, not a curated record. The transcript is spliced from 2 exons. NCBI's taxonomy places the organism in Eukaryota, Metazoa, Chordata, Actinopteri, Labriformes, Labridae.